AUACGGAGGGUGCAAGCGUUAUCCGGAAUUACUGGGUUUAAAGGGUGCGUAGGCGGUUUAAUAAGUCAGAAGUGAAAAGUCCGAGCUCAACUGGGGCCUUGCUUUUGAUACUGUUAGACUUGAAUCAGACUGAGGUUAGCGGAAUGUGACAUGUAGCGGUGAAAUGCAUAGAUAUGUCAUAGAACACCAAUUGCGAAGGCAGCUAACUAGACCUCGAUUGACGCUGAGGCACGAAAGCGUGGGGAGCGAACAGGAUUAGAAACCCUAGUAGUCC
This 274-nucleotide ribosomal RNA is filed under the name uncultured bacterium. RNAcentral's name for it is "partial 16S ribosomal RNA". It matches the Rfam family "Bacterial small subunit ribosomal RNA", at positions 523 to 796 of the family's 1533-position model. The record is from RNAcentral.